CAUUGGGAUUGAGACACGGCCCAAACUCCUACGGGAGGCAGCAGUGGGGAAUAUUGCACAAUGGGGGAAACCCUGAUGCAGCGACGCCGCGUGAGCGAAGAAGUAUUUCGGUAUGUAAAGCUCUAUCAGCAGGGAAGAAGAAAUGACGGUACCUGACUAAGAAGCACCGGCUAAAUACGUGCCAGCAGCCGCGGUAAUACGUAUGGUGCAAGCGUUAUCCGGAUUUACUGGGUGUAAAGGGAGCGCAGGCGGUACGGCAAGUCUGAUGUGAAAGCCCGGGGCUCAACCCCGGUACUGCAUUGGAAACUGUCGGACUAGAGUGUCGGAGGGGUAAGUGGAAUUCCUAGUGUAGCGGUGAAAUGCGUAGAUAUUAGGAGGAACACCAGUGGCGAAGGCGGCUUACUGGACGAUUACUGACGCUGAGGCUCGAAAGCGUGGGGAGCAAACAGGAUUAGAUCCCCUGGUACUGCACGCCGUAAACGA
RNAcentral lists this ribosomal RNA (483 nucleotides) under uncultured bacterium. RNAcentral describes it as "bacterial SSU rRNA". It matches the Rfam family "Bacterial small subunit ribosomal RNA", at positions 311 to 809 of the family's 1533-position model. The record is from RNAcentral.